This 66-nucleotide transfer RNA is filed under the name Scotomedes sp. HL-2012. RNAcentral describes it as "tRNA-Trp". Lineage: Eukaryota; Metazoa; Arthropoda; Insecta; Hemiptera; Velocipedidae. The record is from RNAcentral.
AAAGUUUUAAGUUAAAUUAAACUAUUAACCUUCAAAGUUAAAUAUAUAAAUAGAUUAUAGACUUUA